RNAcentral lists this ribosomal RNA (253 nucleotides) under uncultured bacterium. RNAcentral describes it as "partial 16S ribosomal RNA". It matches the Rfam family "Bacterial small subunit ribosomal RNA", at positions 524 to 776 of the family's 1533-position model. The record is from RNAcentral.
UACAGAGGGUGCGAGCGUUAAUCGGAAUUACUGGGCGUAAAGGGCGCGUAGGCGGUUAUAUGAGUGUGAUGUGAAAGCCCCGGGCUUAACCUGGGAAGUGCAUCGCAAACGAUAUGACUGGAGUAUAUGAGAGGGUGGCGGAAUUUCCGGUGUAGCGGUGAAAUGCGUAGAGAUCGGAAGGAACGUCGAUGGCGAAGGCAGCCACCUGGCAUAAUACUGACGCUGAGGCGCGAAAGCGUGGGGAGCGAACAGG